AUGCUGUGGCACAGGACUGCAGUCAUGGAGCCACCUGAAGAACUCAUUUUAAACAUUCAAAGGACACUGGUCAACUUCUUCUGGAGUGGACAGCACUGGAUCCGUGCAGCUGCCCUGUAUAUUCCAGUCCAGGAGGGUGGGCAAGGCUUGGUGGAUUUGAGGAGUCGGAUCCGAGCCUUCAGAUUACAGUCUGUGCAGAGACUUCUUUAUAAAGAUGUGACAUGGGCCAAAACAGCAAGUGCUUUGCUGAAGCAGGCAGGAGGACUUGGUCUAGACAAACACUUGUUUUUAAUGAAAUUAGAGGAAAUAAGCCUGUCAGAGCUUCCACCGUUUUAUAAGUUUAUGCUGCAGACAUGGAGAACUGUUUUUAAAGUGAAACGAGACAUAGAUGAGCAAGAACAUUGGACUCCAGAGGAACCGUUGUUUUUUAAUCCGUUGAUCCAGACUCGAUUGCUCUCCUCCGUGACUGUGCGGAGAUGCUUAAUAAGGAAUGGCGUCUACAAACUUGGACAUCUUCUUGAUGAGAGGGGCUGGAAACCUACUGAAGUACUCCAAGAGUUGACGGGUUUAAGGUCCUUGCGUCUUGUUUUUAAACUGAAAGAAGAGAUCUCCAAUGCGCUACCAAGUGGCUGCAGGUCUUGGAUUGCACGGAGACAAACACUGGACAUGAGAAAUAACCAAGACUUUCCAGACAUUAAGAUCUCACCUAUCAUAAAUGAGGAAGAUGGUGAAAUUGCGGACUCGAUUUUAUCCUUCACGACCCCCCAGCUUGAUCUUUUUAAAGAUGCGUCUAAGAAAGCUUUAUAUUGCACUUCAGUGAAAAUGACACACCAAGAAUCACUAAAAGGAAUAAAAGCAUCUAAAUGGCCUGAACUGCUACAGCCAGACUUCCUGGUGCGGGACAGGUGGAGGACGCUGUAUAAACCCCCGGUAGAGAAGAGAACGGCAGACCUCCAGUGGAGGAUCAUCCACGGGGCCAUCGCUACGGACCGGCAUGUGGCGCACCUCAAUCCAGCAGUGGGGGGGGAAUGUCGGUUCUGUGGGAUUGAGGAAAACCUGGAGCAUUUGUUUUUAAAGUGUAACAGAUUACAAGGUCUUUUUAAUUUGCUUGAGAUUUGUUUUAGAAGAUUCAAUGAGGAUUUUUCUGAAGUAGUUUUUAUUGGGGGUCUGAAAUACAGUUUUUUAAUGAGAAGGAAAAUGGUUUUACUAAAUUAUUUGAUAGGAACUGCCAAACUGGCAAUCUGGAAAACCAGAAAAAACAAAGGUUUGCAACUCUCUACAAUAAAUCCUGAAAUGAUGUUUAGGCAUCUGGUGCAAGGAAGGCUGAAACUUGAAUUUGCAUAUUACAAACUUACUAAUAAUUUGGUGUGGUUUUGCGAUGUUUGGUGUUUUAAUGAGGUGCUAUGUACAGUUCAGGAUGAUCAGCUUGUUGUGAAUUUUUAG
Long non-coding RNA from Cyprinus carpio carpio, 1443 nucleotides. The record is from Ensembl. NCBI's taxonomy places the organism in Eukaryota, Metazoa, Chordata, Actinopteri, Cypriniformes, Cyprinidae.